This 86-nucleotide transfer RNA is filed under the name Coriobacteriaceae bacterium. RNAcentral's name for it is "tRNA-Leu". It matches the Rfam family "tRNA". From Rfam's summary of the family: Transfer RNA (tRNA) molecules are approximately 80 nucleotides in length. Their secondary structure includes four short double-helical elements and three loops (D, anti-codon, and T loops). Lineage: Bacteria; Bacillati; Actinomycetota; Coriobacteriia; Coriobacteriales; Coriobacteriaceae. The record is from RNAcentral. RNAcentral also lists the same sequence under 3 other names.
GCGGGCGUGGCGGAAUGGCAGACGCGCUGGCUUCAGGUGCCAGUGGGCUUCGGCCCGUGAAGGUUCAACUCCUUUCGCCCGCACCA